RNAcentral lists this ribosomal RNA (252 nucleotides) under uncultured bacterium. RNAcentral describes it as "partial 16S ribosomal RNA". It matches the Rfam family "Bacterial small subunit ribosomal RNA", at positions 524 to 770 of the family's 1533-position model. The record is from RNAcentral.
UACGGGGGGGGGCAAGCGUUGUUCGGAAUUACUGGGCGUAAAGGGCUCGUAGGCGGCCAACUAAGUCAGACGUGAAAUCCCUCGGCUUAACCGGGGAACUGCAUCUGAUACUGGAUGGCUUGAGUUCGGGAGAGGGAUGCGGAAUUCCAGGUGUAGCGGUGAAAUGCGUAGAUAUCUGGAGGAACACCGGGUGGCGAAGGCGGCAUCCUGGACCGGCACUGGACGCUGAGGAGCGGAAAAGCCCAGGGGGAG